GUAGGAUUCCAGCUCCAAUAGCGUAUAUUAAAGUUGUUGCAGUUAAAAAGCUCGUAGUUGAAUUUCGGGGUUCUACCGUUGGUCGGGCAAUAGUCUGUACUGGCGUGUAGAAUUUCUACCUUCUGGGGAACCAUCAUGUUAUUUAUUUAGCGUGGUGGGAAACCAGGACCUUUACCUUGAAAAAAUUAGAGUGUUCAAAGCAGGCUUACGUCUGAAUACAUUAGCAUGGAAUAAUAAAAUAGGACGGUGGUCCUGUUUUGUUGGUUUCUGAAUCACCGUAAUGAUUAAUAGGGAUAGUUGGGGGCAUUAGUAUUCAAUUGUCAGAGGUGAAAUUCUUGGAUUUAUUGAAGACUAACUUCUGCGAAAGCAUUUGCCAAGGAUGUUUUCAUUAAUCAAGAACGAAAGUUAGGGGAUCGAAGACGAUCAGAUACCGUCGUAGUCUUAACCAUAAACUAUGCCGACUAGGGAUCGGACGAUGUAAAAG
This 484-nucleotide ribosomal RNA is filed under the name Gigaspora margarita. RNAcentral's name for it is "SSU rRNA". It matches the Rfam family "Eukaryotic small subunit ribosomal RNA", at positions 579 to 1068 of the family's 1831-position model. Lineage: Eukaryota; Fungi; Glomeromycota; Glomeromycetes; Diversisporales; Gigasporaceae. The record is from RNAcentral.